RNAcentral lists this long non-coding RNA (4598 nucleotides) under Cucumis sativus (cucumber). RNAcentral describes it as "long non-coding RNA (CSAT_LNC001046)". Lineage: Eukaryota; Viridiplantae; Streptophyta; Magnoliopsida; Cucurbitales; Cucurbitaceae. The record is from RNAcentral.
AGGAUAAUACCUUGGAAAGAGAAGACUGUAAAGGGCCUUUACGUGAUUUGAUUUUUAAGGAACAAAAAAUCUGGAUUCAGAAAUGUAAGCUCCAAUGGCUUCAUGAGAGGGAGGAGAGCUCUAGUUUCUUCCACGUAUGGGUUUUGACCCAUAAAGGUAAAAGUAUUAUUUCUUGGUUGAUGAGAGCUUUAGUAACUAAGAAGGAGAUUAUGAAUGAGAUCCUUAGCUUCUUUUCAAGCUUGUAUGGCACCAAGACUUCUUCAUUCAUUUGUGAUGGUCCGAUUGGAAAACCCUUAGUUUACAUGUUUCUAACUCUCUUGAGGCCCCCUUUGGUGAAAAAAGAGAUUAGGGAGGUUGUUUUUGAGAUGGGUUGUCUCAAGUCUCCUAGACCAGAUGGUAUGAUUGAAGAGUUUUAUAAAAAAUCUUAGAACAUUUUGAAAGUUGAUUUAGCAAGGUUGUUCCAAGAUUUUUUUUAAAAAAUGGAAUCAUUAACCGAAGAUGCAAUGAAACUUAUGUUUGUCUCAUCUCGAAAAAGAAAGAGGUGGCCUGUGUUAGUGAUUUCAAACCUAUAAUUAGCUUAAUUAUCUCAUUGUAUAAAAUUAUCUCUAAGGUGCUUGGAGCAUAACUUAAAAAAGUCUUUCCUCAAUUAUUAAUGAUACUCAAAUGACUUUGGUGGAAUGGAGGCAAAUUCUAGAUGCUAUUUUGAUUGCUUCGGAGGCCAUUGAUAAGUGGUAUUUAAAAGGCAUAAAAAGAGUCUUGUUGAAGCUUGAUCUGAAAAAAGCCUAUGAGAAGGUGGAUUAGUCUUUUCUUGACAUUUCUAUGAAACUUAACAGGCUUUGGUAAAAAAUGAAGGAGAUAGACUUGAGGAUGCUUGUCGACGACUAACUUCUCAAUCAUUGUCAAUGGUAGGCCUAGGGGAAAGAUUUUUUUUAAUUUAUAAAAAAGGCAUUCAUCAGGAUGAUCCACUCGCCUUUUUUCUUUUUACAAUUGUGGGAGAUGACCUUAGUUGCUUUAUUCACUACUGUAACGAGAAAAUGACUAUAAGAGGCUUUCAGUUGAUAAUAUGUCAGGUGACCUUAUCCAUCUUCAAUACGCAGAUGAUACUCUUCUCUUCUCUUCUUGGGAGAAUGAAAAUUUGGAGACUUGAUGGAAGGUGAUCAAUCUCUUUCUUUUAGGAGUUGGGUUAUCCCUUAAUAGCUCAAAAACAUCAUUAAUCAGUAUUAACUUUGAUAGCGUCGAUCUGGCCCCUUAAGCUAGUACUUUGGGUUGCAUGGUGGAUAACGUCCCCUUUAACUAUUUGGGCUUCUCUAUAGAAGAGGGUCGUAAUAGGAAAGAGGUUUGGAACAUCCUUGAAGAGCGAUUCAAAUAUAAAACUGACAGAUGGAGGAAUGUGUCUCUUUCCAAAGGUGGCAGAUUAACUCUUGUGUAAUCAAUUUUGAAUAGUCUUCCUUGUUAUUUGUUUUUCCUUGUACAAGUUCUGGUUGGUGUUAUCAAUAGAUUGGAAAGGAUGAUAAAUUUUUUUGUUUGGAUAGGGGCCCUACGAACUCGGCUGCUCACCUUGUCAAAUGGAGUGUACUUUUCACCCAAUUUGUUAUGGUGGUCUCAGGAUUGACUUUUUUAGGCAUAAAAACAAUGCCCUUCUCACUAAAUGGCUCUGGAGAUUUAGUCAGAAAGACAGUGGGUUAUGAAGACACUUAAUUGUGGCUAUUUACGUAUUAGAGGAGAAUGAGUAGUUUAUUAAAGCUCCGAACAUGGGGGUCUUAUAGAUUAUGGGCUGGCAUUUUGAAACAUAAAGUGACUUUCCUUAAUUUUUCGCCUGUUUUGUUGGGUAAGGGAACAAAAAUCAAAAUUUGGAAGGUCAGUUGGUUUUGGCAGAAACUUUCCCUAGUUUGUUCUCUUUGUCGCUGAACAAUGAUGCUCUUGUUGUGUAAUGUUAGUUGUUCUUGGAAUUUGGGUCUUAGAAGAAACUUGCUUGAUAAUGAACUUGACAGCGUGGUCACCAUUCUAGAAAUUCUUCAUUCUUGGGCCCCUUCAGACGAUCGUGAUAGUUUUAAAUUAAUGCUAAUAGCAGCUUUACUACAAAGUCUAUCUUUCUUAAAUUAACCAAGAGAUCUCCCUCCAUUGCUGCUCCCUCGAUUCAUCACAUUUAGAAGACUAAAAUCUCGAAAAAGGUGAAAUUCUUCUUAUGGUCACUUGCAUAUAGAAGUCUCAACACUCGAGAGAAUUUUUAUAAAAAAAGUUCUAGCACACCAUACUCAGCCCCUCGAUGUGCUACAUUUGUUUCAAAGAUAAAAAAGGCCAUGAACCACUUAUUUUUGCAUUGCACUUUCACUAAGAAAGCUUGGUACACUCUAUUUAGAAUCUUUAACAUGGAGGUUUGUCUUCCUAGAAAGAUUGGCAGUUGGAUGUUGGAAGGGCUUAAAAUUAGAGGCUUUAGUCUGAAAGGUCACAUCUUGUGGAGUUGUGCUACUUGUUCCCUUUUGUGAUGUAUUUGGAAAGAAACGAACAAUAGAAUUUUUUAAGACAAUUAUAAUUCUUUUGAUUCUUUUGAACUGUGUUGCAACACAAACUUCUUGGUGGAGUACGAAUUACACCAAACACUUUUGUAAUUAUAGUCUUUUUAUGAUUUUCAACAUUGAAAGACCCUUAUACUUUAGUUUCUCUUGGGAAGGGCUCUCUUGUCCCUUGCCAUUUAUCUUUUGCUCAUUGAAUAUAUUUGUUUCUUAUAAAAAAACCUAAAAGAUACAUAGAUCAGACCACAAAACAAUUAGUUUCUAUUUAUAACACUAUUGCUUGAAGGAACUAAUUUUUCACUAGGAUGACCAUAUGAGACUUAACCUUAAUCCUAAGUGAGUUGUGAACUCUUGUUUAUGAUAGCAGUUUUUUGAUUUGUAUGAGUGAGAGUGAUUCAACAACCCUACUACUUUAGGGAUUUGUUUGAGUGAAGAGCCGAGACCAUAACUACACAAUACGAAAUCACUCAUCCCCAUUCCCAUUCCUUGGGAUAAUAAAUAAAUUGCUUACUUAAUAGCUAAUUUUGAGCCUUAAACAAUAAAGCCUCCACCUCAAUCUCUCACUGGUUCGAGAAGUGUUAGUUUAUAGUUGGACUAUAAACUAUUUGUUCAUUAGAGAAAUCGAUUCCGUUUAAGGAGUUUGAAAUAACUAUAAGGGUAAAAUGAUAAUUUGACCCAAUUGUAGUUAUAAGCGAUUUGUUAAGAGUCAACUCAAGAUUGAUUGGUUAUAUUCGUGGACAUGAAAAUAUAUUUACAAUGCGAAGAGUAGAACUUCUAUCUUUAGUGUGCCCAUGCGGAAGGAUCAAUUGUACAAAUUCCCCCGGAAGCAUAAACCAUACGGAAAUACUAACUCGGUCAUGAAGGCAAUUGGACUGAAAAAAUCAGAUGCUGCAAAAUCAUAAUCUAGUUUAAAUCAUGAUAGACAAUACUUUUGAUUUUCUUUCAACUUUUUUAUCAAGGUUGAGCGAUUUGUACGCAUGAAAAGAGUUGGUACAAGUGUAAGAUCUUCCAUAAAUGUAAAGAUUACUUCUCCCAAGUGUUGUGAUGGAUAUUAUAUGAUUAUAUCAUAGUAGAUGUUAAAGAUAAAUUUGAUGUUUACACUUCAUAAAUUUGAUUUACAUAAUUUUGAAUCAUUGACAGCAAAACUAUUCCACAACUAACAGAUUGUUUUCCAUCAAACCUUCGCCAACAGUGGGAAAUUCUGUUGAUAGCUGCCAUUCUCCAUCCACUAGGAACUUGAUUUCGUACCUUCAUAUAUAUUACAGAAACAACAGCAAAAGAAAUAAUGUUCUAUGUAACACAAAUUAAUACACAUAAUAGAUCAAUCAUCAACCAAUGAUUCCCAUGAUUAGAAUAAUAAGGUCAUGAAGGUAGUCAUUUGAUCAGUAAAUCAAGAAAAUCAAGAGGAGAGGAAGGCAAGGGAGAGGAAUUAUACCUCCCAGGUCUAAGCCUUAAAGUUGUCGAGAACUUAGAGUAAGCCCCAGUGUAUUCAGGUGAUAAAUCCUCCCCUACACUCCAGCCAUCAAAAGUUCCCAUAACUUGCACAUUCUAUUAAAAAAUGAAGAUAAAAUUAUAAGAAUGAUAGCGAUGAUGAAAGAAAGAAACUUAAGAGUUAAGAUAAAAUCAGACCUAGUUGUUUUUGUUCUCAAAAUAAUCCGGCGGUAGGGAUUCGAACAUUUCACAUUUAGGAAAAUUGUAAAAGUCAAAUGUUAGAAUUUAGAAAGCUGGUCUCCUUUCCGAUAUAGAGAAAAUUGCAAAAAAUAUUGUUAAAAUUAUCAAUCAACUUAAGCUUAACUUAAAAGCUUAAGUUGAUCGGUUACAGCGAAUUUAAUUAUAUCAAUACUUCAACAAAUUUAAUUAUAUCAAUACUUCAACAAAAAUAGAAUUUGCUUUUAUUACCUCAGCCAUUCCAUACCAGAAUAGUGGAACUUCUUUUGAUUGCACCAAAUCUACAUCUUUUAUUUGAUCCAUUAUCUUUUUGUGUACAGCUUCAAAGAAAAAGAAGAGUCCAACAAGUAACAAGUCAACGAUACAUUUUUGAGUAAUAACGGAGAACUUUCAUGGAGGGCAGCACACAUAAUCUCA